CCAUAAUAAUGGACUCUAAUUAGUAAGUGUCAGCUAGAGGAUUACUAUCAGCUAGACGAUAAGUGUCUCUCUGCAAGAAAAAGUACCGUUGCAGCUUUGCCAUUAGCAUCAUCUAGAUAUACGCGACCAUGUUGAUUUUUUUGUUCUUCUUCCACUCCCAUGCCAAGCACUUCGGGGCAAGCAGACGAAUUUGUGGCAGUAGAUUAUCGAGAGAUCCGUGACGUGUUAUGUGGGGUAGCUAAUAAAUGUUCAGUGUGUUCCGCUUUCAACAUUGUUUUGGCUACUCGUUUAACAUACAGAAAUUAGCCAUUUUCUUGUACCAACCUGAGGGACCCUCUUUUUCACGACGCACAACACACGAUUAUUUGAAGGUUGAUUUUCACUAGACGUCAUUUCAAGGGUGCAGUUCCUAUCCACAGCCCUACAGUGUGCAAAAAUAGACAGUGGAAAAAAUCUGCUCAUACGGAUCUGCUCAAUGCCGGCUUCAUCUAAACUGUUAUUGAACAUAGGACUACACAGUAUUAAAAGACUCUACCCUUAAGGAAAUUUGCAGCUGUGGACUUUCUUUAGAUGAUUCUUGAAUCGUAAAUAGAUUCCUGCUUCUUAGAACAAGAAACAUAGCAGAUAUCUUGAUGCCAACUAAGUGUCAUUGGAAAGAAACAGGAAAAACCUUAAGUUGGAGGACAAUACAUUUGUUUCCCAUUGCCAGUUCUGUAAACCAAAUAGUAAAUUGGUAAAAUGAAACAACACAUGACCUAUUACUUUAGAUCAAUUGUUUUCACAAGUGGAGUUUGAUUCCACAAUCUUCAGCUUCCCAGGCAGACACCCAUCCACACAGCCGUGGGUUAUAGAUGCUAUAAACAAUUUAUUAAUUAAAUAAUUUAUAUUUUAGGUUAUUGAUUGCACUUCACGGUCGUGUAGUAGAACCUUUUAAAGCUUUCCAUAAAGAUGAAGUAAGAGCCUUAGGUCGCGAGCUGGGUCUGUUCGCAGAUUUACUGUAACGUUAUCCGUUUCCUGGUCCCGGUUUGUCCAUUCGA
Molecule: long non-coding RNA, 1037 nt
Filed under: Daphnia magna
Lineage: Eukaryota; Metazoa; Arthropoda; Branchiopoda; Diplostraca; Daphniidae
Description: uncharacterized LOC123474677, transcript variant X4
Source: RNAcentral